This 1393-nucleotide ribosomal RNA is filed under the name Leptobrachium sp. KUHE 34396. RNAcentral describes it as "partial 16S rRNA". It matches the Rfam family "Bacterial large subunit ribosomal RNA", at positions 390 to 2569 of the family's 2925-position model. Lineage: Eukaryota; Metazoa; Chordata; Amphibia; Anura; Megophryidae. The record is from RNAcentral.
GACAGUUAUUCAUCUAGCCUGAAUACGCCCAAACCAAGAUACACCACCCCCCCCCCCCUUUUUUUUAAUAAAACAUUCUUUAUCUUUAGUAUAUGCGAUAAAAAAAGAAACCAGAGCUAUAGCAGUAGUACCGCAAGGGAAAAAUGAAAUAGUAAUGAAAUAAUUUACAACCUUAUAAAGCAGAGAUUUUACCUCGUACCUUUUGCAUCAUGGCCUAACAAGUCUAACCAGGCAAAACGAUUCUAGUCUGGCCCCCCGAAACUAAGUGAGCUACUCCGGAGCACUAAAAGUAACCCGUCUCUGUGGCAAAAGAGUGGGGAGAAUCCUGAGUAGAGGCGACAAACCUAUCGAACCUAGUGAUAGCUGGUUGCUCAGGAAAAGAAUUUUAGUUCUUUCUUAAAAAUCAUUAAGCACCAUUAAGCACCUAAUUUUUAAGAACUAUUCAAUAAGGGUACAGCCUUAUUGAAAAAGGACACAACCUAAACUUCAGGGUAAUGAUUAAACUCUUUAAGGUAAAAGGCUAAGUUGGCUUAAAAGCAGCCACCUUUUAGAAAGCGUCAAAGCUUCACCUUCCCACCUCCUUUUAUUUAAUUAAUUUCUCAAAACCCGUUAAUACUACUGAGCUGUUCUAUAAUAAUAUAGAAGUAUUUAUGUUAGGACUAGUAACACAGAAUUAUUUCUCUUAUAUGUGAGCGUACAUCAGCCUGAAUACACCACUGAUAAUUACCCAGUUUUGAGCAUAAAGUAAUAUUGACAUUCCAUGAUAACAUUACUUAGGCCACUGUUAACCUUACACAAGAACAUAAAAGAAAGAUAAAAAGUUUAAGAAGGAACUCGGCAAACACAAAUCCCGCCUGUUUACCAAAAACAUCGCCUUUUGAAUUAUAUAAAAGGUAACGCCUGCCCAGUGACAUCAUGUUCAACGGCCGCGGUAUUCUGACCGUGCGAAGGUAGCGUAAUCACUUGUCUUUUAAAUAAAGACUAGUAUGAAUGGCAUCACGAGGAUUUAGCUGUCUCCUUAGACUCAUCAGUGAAACUGAUCUCCCCGUGCAAAAGCGGGGAUAGACACAUAAGACGAGAAGACCCUAUGGAGCUUAAAACUAACAGCUGCCUAUACCAUCUGCUGAUAUAAACAGCACUAUAAUAAUAGAUCCAGCCUACGUUUUCAGUUGGGGUGACUAUGGAGAAAAACUGAUCCUCCAUGAAGAAACAAGCCUUGAGUUUUUACUCUACGCAUUAGCAAGCCUAACUUUAUUUGAUCCAAUAUAUUUGAUCAACAGACCAAGUUACCCUAGGGAUAACAGCGCAAUCCAUUUCAAGAGUCCUUAUCGACAAAUGGGUUUACGACCUCGAUGUUGGAUUAGGACACCCCAGUGGUGCAGCCGCUACUAAC